RNAcentral lists this long non-coding RNA (1320 nucleotides) under Macaca fascicularis (crab-eating macaque). Its description in RNAcentral is "lncRNA (ENSMFAG00000054885.1)". The record is from RNAcentral. Lineage: Eukaryota; Metazoa; Chordata; Mammalia; Primates; Cercopithecidae.
AAAAAAAAAAAGUUGGGGAAGAUUAGAAAAAAGUUCAAGAUAAAUAUUCAAAAUAUUAUUAAGUACAUGACUAAAAGCUAAUUACUACAUAUGAUAAAUACAGUGUUGGUAAUAUAGAUCAUUUCUUUUCAGCCAUGAUGCUUAAUGAUAUUUAUCUUAUUCAGAGGAAAAACAAAAAAGGUACCCACUUCCCAUGUAGAAAAAAUUAGACUCCACAAAGAAGUUGCUUCUUCUGAAAUUAACUUUUGAGAGACCUUGGAAUAAACCAUGUGUUCUCCAUGAUAGUAUGACUCAGAUGCAAUUAAAACAGUUUAAAUCCUGGAUAUAGGAUCUCCUAUAGCAAAACAUUUUACUUUCAUUUUUCAGUAUUUGCUGCUUUCUAGAUUUCUAUUAGAUAAGCUAUGUCAUUUUUCUGAAAAAGAAACUGAGUUAUUGAGUGCAUUAAGACAAGGCACUUAGAACUACAGUGUCAAAAUCAAAAGGCAUAAAUGGGCAUGGCAGUGCUGGUGGAAAAAUCUGUGGUACUAGUGAUCUGGUUAGGGCUUGUUGCACAGGCUGGGAGUAACUGGUUUGCUCUUUCAAGCCUCCAAGAGUACCUUAAACAAGGUGAUAGCUCCUCUCUUCUUUAGCAUUAUAUUCCUUUAGUCAACAAAGAACUUUCUCCACUCUGCUGCCCACCUCUGAGAGUAUCUAAGAUGAGAAUACAGGGAAGAAAGGGUCAUAAAUGAAUAGAAUUAUAGUCAAAAACAUGAAUUAAAUAUCCUUCCUCAAGUUAUAAAGGAUACUUUAAUAGAACAGUCUCCAGAAUUUGCUGCUAUCACACCAAGUCAUGCUGUUGCCCUAUGACCUCACUCUUCCAAUUCCAUGACCUUGUCUUGCUAGGGGGUAAAAAGUCCCAUUUCUUUUACUUUAGUGGGUUUCAACUGCAGCAUUUCAGAAACAAGUUUUGGUUUGACACUCAGGAGAAUAAAAACAAGUUGAGGGCAGAAUGUAUUUGGAAAAGCUUAAGACAAAUUUACUUAUAUUAUUUUAUGAUCAUUUAGGAUUACAGAUCAAUUUACCUCCAUAAAUCUUUGAAUAGUCACUGUGACCACAGGAUGAAAAUCCUGUAUUAGCCAUUUUAUAGGUUAAAACAAAAGAUUGACUACACAGCCGACUUCCCUCAGAUAACUAUAAAGUCUAUUAUGAACAUUGAAUGACCAAAGAACAUGGAAAAAAUACAUAUGAAUAAAUACUGAAAUGUUUAUGAAAGAUAUUUAUGAAAGAUAUUAAGACUUCUGUGUUUAGGUAUGCACAUAUAAUAAAAUACAUCUAAAAACA